RNAcentral lists this ribosomal RNA (588 nucleotides) under Streptococcus mutans. RNAcentral's name for it is "bacterial SSU rRNA". It matches the Rfam family "Bacterial small subunit ribosomal RNA", at positions 376 to 958 of the family's 1533-position model. Lineage: Bacteria; Bacillati; Bacillota; Bacilli; Lactobacillales; Streptococcaceae. The record is from RNAcentral.
CGAAAGUCUGACCGAGCAACGCCGCGUGAGUGAAGAAGGUUUUCGGAUCGUAAAGCUCUGUUGUAAGUCAAGAACGUGUGUGAGAGUGGAAAGUUCACACAGUGACGGUAGCUUACCAGAAAGGGACGGCUAACUACGUGCCAGCAGCCGCGGUAAUACGUAGGUCCCGAGCGUUGUCCGGAUUUAUUGGGCGUAAAGGGAGCGCAGGCGGUCAGGAAAGUCUGGAGUAAAAGGCUAUGGCUCAACCAUAGUGUGCUCUGGAAGCUGUCUGACUUGAGUGCAGAAGGGGAGAGUGGAAUUCCAUGUGUAGCGGUGAAAUGCGUAGAUAUAUGGAGGAACACCAGUGGCGAAAGCGGCUCUCUGGUCUGUCACUGACGCUGAGGCUCGAAAGCGUGGGUAGCGAACAGGAUUAGAUACCCUGGUAGUCCACGCCGUAAACGAUGAGUGCUAGGUGUUACGCCCUUUCGGGGCUAGUGCCGGAGCUAACGCAAUAAGCACUCCGCCUGGGGAGUACGACGCAAGGUUGAAACUCAAAGGAAUUGACGGGGGCCCGCACAAGCGGUGGAGCAUGUGGUUUAAUUCGAAGCA